AUUUAUUUAGUAUAAAUUUUGUACAUUUGACUUCCAAUCAAAAAGUCCUGAUUAGGAAUAAAUA
This 64-nucleotide transfer RNA is filed under the name Caecilius quercus. Its description in RNAcentral is "tRNA-Gly". It matches the Rfam family "tRNA". Rfam says of the family: Transfer RNA (tRNA) molecules are approximately 80 nucleotides in length. Their secondary structure includes four short double-helical elements and three loops (D, anti-codon, and T loops). Lineage: Eukaryota; Metazoa; Arthropoda; Insecta; Psocodea; Caeciliusidae. The record is from RNAcentral.